Non-coding RNA from Pantherophis guttatus, 373 nucleotides. NCBI's taxonomy places the organism in Eukaryota, Metazoa, Chordata, Lepidosauria, Squamata, Colubridae. The record is from RefSeq and is a predicted model, not a curated record.
UCAUCACGGAUGCUCUGCAUAUGCGCAGAAGGUUCUGCGCAUGUGCAGAAGUGCCAAGCGCGUGCUCACAAUUCCGAACUGGUAGUGAAGCCCUAGGAAGGAGGCAAUGGCAAACCACUUCUAAAAAACUUUGCCAAGAAAACCACAGGAACUUAUCCAGAAAGUCUCUGAGAAUCGGACACAAUUGAACAGAAUUGGGUAUUAAGCCAGAAUCAUGGUUUAUUGAAGAAAUGCAGCAUUUCCAGAAAUUUUGAAACAACAACAACAAAAAAAAUAAGUUUACUAUUUUCUUAGAUGAUAAGGGAAAAACUUAGCUAUAUGCAAUAUUAUUUUAGUAUUUUUAUCUUUAUCAAUAAACAAAUGCUGCUGCCAA